AUGUGGAAACAAUUUAUAGUAUUCGAGUUUUUUUAUGAUACUCCUAUUAUUCCGAAUGAGAAGAAUUUUGCUUAUGUGGAAUGUAGUAAAUUUUCUAUGCUUGUAGAUCAUGAAAAGAAUGCUUUAUGUGAUAGUUAUAUUGCUGAAUUCAUUCAUGAUGCUACUGAAAUUUAUUACGAAGGAGGAACAUAUGCUUGUAGGAAUUGCAAUAAUAUCAUGUUUCCUCUCUAUGUGUUGAAAAUCUUGAAGCUAUGCUUGUUUUGCUUUCCUAUGCUAGUCGAUUCUUGUUCCCAUAAAUUGUUUGCUCACAAAAUCCCUAUGCAUAGGAAGUGA
This 333-nucleotide ribosomal RNA is filed under the name Triticum aestivum (bread wheat). Its description in RNAcentral is "partial small subunit ribosomal RNA". Lineage: Eukaryota; Viridiplantae; Streptophyta; Magnoliopsida; Poales; Poaceae. The record is from RNAcentral.